UCCAGAAAAGCAGUGAAGAAGAAAUUUGACUAUGAAUUCCACCCUAACGUUCUACAAAAAGAAUUGCGCUCCACAGAAAACAUGAAGCGAUUGGAAAAAUUAAAGAGCAAAAGUUUCAAUCGUACCCAGUGGGAUUUAAUUACAAAAGGUGACGUUUCAUCAGACAACUUUGAUUUGACUUUGAUGAUAACCCUUUUAACACACCUUGCUGAUUUAAGUAUUGGAAAUGCACUUCCUUAUCCUAGCGUCAAAUCGGACGAAGCUGAUUUUACAAGAAUAAAAUACUACCGUAACCUCAUCGCUCACAACACAGAAGCUGCAAUUUGUGAAUCCGAUUUCAGGACAUAUUGGAACGAUAUUGAACAGGCUGUUUUACGACUAAGCGACAACACGCUGGAAGCAGAUUGUAAAAAACUCAAAUUACAAGAAUUCAAGCCACGAGAAGUUGACGAAUUACUGUGCGCUAUUAACGCAAAACCAAGACUAACAGAUAUUGAAGAGAAACUGACCCAUUUAACUGAUGCAUUCGAACACAUGGCAAGUCAAUUGGACAGUAUAGCUAAUAUCGUGCAACCAGACAUACAUGGAUUAAGAUUCACCCCCUUGGGUGAGUAUACUGCAAGACGUUUUGCAAAGCAAUAGUAUCAAUAUUUUAUCACAAUUUAGAAAUACGUGUAUGUAAAAUGAUGCUACCAACAUUUUUGUUAGAUUUUACUAUUUUAAUUUUGAUUGACAAAAUACACACA
Long non-coding RNA from Mytilus californianus (California mussel), 746 nucleotides. RefSeq lists it as uncharacterized. Lineage: Eukaryota; Metazoa; Mollusca; Bivalvia; Mytilida; Mytilidae. The record is from RefSeq and is a predicted model, not a curated record. The transcript is spliced from 3 exons.